AACGCACGAGACCUGCGGACCUGCGGAAGGAUCAUUAACACAAAAAUGAUAACCUUUUUUUUGGUUGAGAGAGUUUCUUAACCGGAGCUCUCUCAAUCAAAAAAAUUACCACAAUGGAAAAUGUUAAAGUCCAUUAACAUUAUUAAUAAUGUUGAUGGUCUUUAUACCAUUUCUUAAAAAAACUCCAUUUAAAAACCAUUAGAUUCUGUUAUGAUUAUAUCUAAAACAUAUAAUCUUAAA
Molecule: unclassified non-coding RNA, 240 nt
Filed under: soil metagenome
Description: partial contains 5.8S ribosomal RNA, internal transcribed spacer 2, and large subunit ribosomal RNA
Source: RNAcentral